Molecule: ribosomal RNA, 253 nt
Filed under: uncultured bacterium
Lineage: Bacteria
Description: partial 16S ribosomal RNA
Rfam family: Bacterial small subunit ribosomal RNA
Source: RNAcentral
UACGUAGGGUGCGAGCGUUGUCCGGAAUUAUUGGGCGUAAAGAGCUCGUAGGCGGCUUGUCGCGUCGGAUGUGAAAGCCCGGGGCUUAACUCCGGGUCUGCAUUCGAUACGGGCAGGCUAGAGUUCGGUAGGGGAGAUCGGAAUUCCUGGUGUAGCGGUGGAAUGCGCAGAUAUCAGGAAGAACACCCGUGGCGAAGGCGGCUCUCUGGAACGCAACUGACGCUGAGACGCGAAAGCGUGGGGAGCAAGCAGG